Molecule: non-coding RNA, 118 nt
Filed under: Candidatus Massilimicrobiota merdigallinarum
Lineage: Bacteria; Bacillati; Bacillota; Erysipelotrichia; Erysipelotrichales; Erysipelotrichaceae
Description: yjdF RNA
Rfam family: azaaromatic riboswitch aptamer (yjdF RNA)
Source: RNAcentral
AGCAAAGAUAAAAACGCAAUGCAUUGAAUAAAUGCUAGAGCUGGUAGGUAGCCCAGCCGUCCUAUAAUCAUAGGGUAAGUAACCUGCCCCUCCGGGUUGUCCAUUCUUUGUAUAUAAA